RNAcentral lists this transfer RNA (87 nucleotides) under Candidatus Mancarchaeum acidiphilum. Its description in RNAcentral is "Candidatus Micrarchaeota archaeon Mia14 tRNA". It matches the Rfam family "tRNA". From Rfam's summary of the family: Transfer RNA (tRNA) molecules are approximately 80 nucleotides in length. Their secondary structure includes four short double-helical elements and three loops (D, anti-codon, and T loops). Further hydrogen bonds mediate the characteristic L-shaped molecular structure. tRNAs have two regions of fundamental functional importance: the anti-codon, which is responsible for specific mRNA codon recognition, and the 3' end, to which the tRNAs corresponding amino acid is attached (by aminoacyl-tRNA synthetases). tRNAs cope with the degeneracy of the genetic code in two manners: having more than one tRNA (with a specific anti-codon) for a particular amino acid; and 'wobble' base-pairing, i.e. permitting non-standard base-pairing at the 3rd anti-codon position. Lineage: Archaea; Nanobdellati; Microcaldota. The record is from Rfam by way of RNAcentral.
CCCGUUGUAGCUCAAUGGUAGAGCGGCCGGCUGUAGCCUGUGUAGAAAGAAACCGGCAGGUUGGGUGUUCAAAUCACUCCAACGGGA